This is a long non-coding RNA of Dermochelys coriacea (leatherback sea turtle), 1940 nucleotides long. RefSeq lists it as uncharacterized. Lineage: Eukaryota; Metazoa; Chordata; Testudines; Dermochelyidae. The record is from RefSeq and is a predicted model, not a curated record. The transcript is spliced from 3 exons.
UGUGAGUUCAAUUCUUGAGGGGGCCAUUUAGGGAUCUGGGGCAAAAAUUGGGGAUUGGUCCUGCUCUGAGCAGCAGGUUGGACUAGAUGACCUCCUGAGGUCCCUUCCAACCUGAUAUUCUAUGACUACAAAUAAGCCCUUCCCGGCCCCCGUCCUGGGCGUUUAGGGGAUGCAUUGUCUGCAGUCGGACUUUGCAGCUGAACUGGUGAUAGCCCUGUGCCAACAUGUUGAUUUUUUUUACAUGCUGUGAGCAUGAGUUCUGUAUCUUGGCUACUCUGUGACUGAUAAUAGUUGAUAUUGAGAAGGCAGAACAAAGAAAUCUUUCAUCAAAUAAAGGAAUGUGCAUAAACAAAGUAAGUGAGCCUGUGAUGGGGGAAAAGACCUUUGACGGAAACUUGGGCUAUGUGCAGUAGUUUGAGUAAGAGGCAUGAAAGCUCUUGGGGCGUGGACAAUUAAGCUGCUGCAUCUGCAAGGAAAACAUAGCAUUCCUUAAAGCUAACCCUCUUCCCUUGGGUUCCUACUGAAUGCCUGAGAGAUGAGAGCAUGGUGAGUCUCCACAAGACUAAUGCUAAACAUGAGCAGUCUGGCAUAGAGGGAGCACUACAGCAAGUGAAAGUUGGGUUUUGAUCACUAAAAACUUUUGCCUCAGCAAUUAUACUGAGUACAUCACAAAGAAAUGUGUUUGAUGUUGUUUUGGUAAAUAUAACCAGAACUUUGUAGGACAUGUAAAAAGACAACUUCCUUCAUGGGAAGAAGAACCAAUGUGCCUCAGACAAAGGGCAGUUGUUGAGGGAGUAUGACCCUUUAAGGAGUCCUGCUUUCAGCCUCACUUGUGUCUAGUUUACCUCUCAGGCCAGGAGUCAAGUGACGGGGGGCAUGUGACUAAAAUCAAGGCUUGCUGGGGGAUAUAAGGGCACCCUGAGUUGUCUUGAGGGAUAUACUUAAAGAAGAUGGUUGGUUGUAUGACUCGCUUCUUACAGAAGAUGUGGAGAAUGUAAGUUUGUAGGGGGUAUGAGUGGUGGAGCGUGUGCCUACCAUCCAGCCAAGAUAAAGGUCUCAGUAGGGACUGGGUUAAGAAUCCUAUAUCUAGGGCUGUGUCCCAGCAGGAAGCUAGGUGGAAGUGAUCUUGCUUUGAAGUUUAUCAGACUCCCAGAAAGGGAGGAUUAUUGUGAACCCAUACAAAGUGAAGUUUGAUUAAUUGGAGAAGGGAAACAGAGGCAGUAAAGGUACCCAGAGACAGAGUGGGUAAAGUACCUGUUACACUAAGAAGUCACAAAGAUGUUGAAGAGGGACGAUGAAUCAGAGAGAGGCAAGAAGUCUUACUCCUGGGAAUUCGGAAGGCAUUUCAAGCAUUAGGAAGGUGGUGUAAUUCUAUUAAUAACUCUAAAAUAGUAAUACUUACAGGGGUGUUUUCACAUAAGACUCUCAUAGUACUUUCAUGUCCAAUACUACAGGCAUACAUCACCACUGAAAUACGGCCACCUCUUGGUUAGAAUGCAACGACCACGUAGUGCACAGACUGCUGUGAAACACUGGAGAGAGGGAAGCUUUGGCCAAGACACAAAACCGUACGGGAUCUCCCAAAGAUACAUAAAGCUGAAAAGAUCUGUUUUUAAAGUCUUGUAUAAAAGAGCCACAUGUGCUAAACUGUACAGUAUUCCAUUUCUCUACUGCAGAAGAACCAAAGAUGUUAAAACAACCACUAGAGUGAAUGAGGGAAUCAUACUCAUUUUCCAUUGGGCCAGAGAGGAGCUGAACCCAUCCCUCCAGAUCUGAGAAGCCCGGCAGAGACCUCCUCUCCAGCUGAAAAGUAAAUCUCCUGGGGCAGGAGCAUUGCAACCAGUGGACAAGGUAAGUGUCUGAAUCUGAAGUAUGUAACAAUGUGUGUUUUAUACAUUGGAACAAAAACAAGCCACAGCUGAACUACUUUACACAAGCUG